UACGGGAGGCAGCAGUGGGGAAUAUUGGACAAUGGGGGAAACCCUGAUCCAGCGACGCCGCGUGAGCGAAGAAGUAUUUCGGUAUGUAAAGCUCUAUCAGCAGGGAAGAAAAUGACGGUACCUGACUAAGAAGCACCGGCUAAAUACGUGCCAGCAGCCGCGGUAAU
Molecule: ribosomal RNA, 167 nt
Filed under: uncultured rumen bacterium
Lineage: Bacteria
Description: partial 16S ribosomal RNA
Rfam family: Bacterial small subunit ribosomal RNA
Source: RNAcentral